Molecule: ribosomal RNA, 506 nt
Filed under: uncultured bacterium
Lineage: Bacteria
Description: partial 16S ribosomal RNA
Rfam family: Bacterial small subunit ribosomal RNA
Source: RNAcentral
GAUGAACGCCAGCUACAGGCUUAACACAUGCAAGUCGAGGGGUAACGAGAGGAAAGCUUGCUUUCCUUGCCGACGACCGGCGCACGGGUGAGUAACGCGUAUCCAACCUGCCCCCAACUAGGGAAUAACCUUGCGAAAGUAAGACUAAUACCCUAUAAUUUCCUCAGAUGUCAUCUGACGAGGAAUAAAGAUUUAUCGGUUGUGGAUGGGGAUGCGUCUGAUUAGCUUGUUGGCGGGGUAACGGCCCACCAAGGCAACGAUCAGUAGGGGUUCUGAGAGGAAGGUCCCCCCCAUUGGAACUGAGACACGGUCCAAACUCCUACGGGAGGCAGCAGUGAGGAAUAUUGGUCAAUGGGCGGAAGCCUGAACCAGCCAAGUAGCGUGCAGGAUGACGGCCCUAUGGGUUGUAAACUGCUUUUAUACAGGAAUAAAGUUAGCCACGUGUGGUUAUUUGUAGGUACUGUAUGAAUAAGGACCGGCUAAUUCCGUGCCAGCCGCCGCAGUAA